Chelonia mydas (Green sea turtle) is the source of this 1951-nucleotide long non-coding RNA. RefSeq lists it as uncharacterized. The record is from RefSeq and is a predicted model, not a curated record. The transcript has 3 exons. NCBI's taxonomy places the organism in Eukaryota, Metazoa, Chordata, Testudines, Cheloniidae.
CAGUAGCAAGCAGGUACUGCUGGCUUCUUCUCUGCUCCUGAAUCCUGAAACAUUGAAGGCAGUUCCUGUGUUACCAACUCUCAUGCUAUGUGGAGCUCACUGAGUUGUGUCAUUACACGAGAAUCUCAACUUUCAUUUUUUAAAAAUGCGGAGUCAACGGGGGAGUGGCAGCAGUUGACUCACCGCAGUGAAGACACCGCGGAGAAUGCAGCACUCACAGGCCUCCUGAAUUCACCCUUAAUGCUACUUCAUUGAUUGGCUAAAUGCCUACAAAGGGGGUACUCAAAUAGGAUUAUUUGCAACUGACUGCCAAGAUCGCAUGACAUAAAAAAAUCUCUUAUCUUCAAACUAGGGUUUCCAAGUUUGAUUUCAAAUCUGGAUGUGUGUCCUCACCUUGCCAAUGCCAGCUCAGUAACGUACAGGGUAUUAACUUUUCUGUUACUUUAAUAAUAAUAAUAAUAAUAAUAAUUAAUAAUAAAAGCUAGCAUGUAAAGAUGGGAAUGGUAUACUCAGAGCAAAUUACUAAGAUAAAAUUCUGUUUUCUUUCCUACACUUCUAAUUCUGUAAGUAAAUCUUUGCAUUCAUGAAUCUUGAAAUUCAUUUAAAUGUUAGUCUUUAUUUUUAUUGUUAUUCCAGAUUGCAAUUUCCUGAGUAAAGCAGCCCAAAUUCUCCAAAUGUUUAUAGUGCAUGUAAUAUUUUUAUCAGCAAUGAAGCACCAUUGUGGUAGAUAUUAAGUAUAUUCUUGCACAUUUGCGCUUUAUCAAAGUAUUACAAUGAUCAUAGUAAAAUCUGUAUAUUUCAUAAAGUUAUCUCUAAUUAUCCAGUGAGCAAUACUGGGGUAAAUAUUUAUUUGGGUGAUGGAAAUUAAAUGGGACUAGAGAAAAGUGGAAAUUUCCAGAAAAAUAAUAAACUAUCAACUCUAUAUGUCUUUUCAAGUUACAAUUGAAAAUGUCUUUUUCCUUUGACUAUAUAUGUAGUCCCUAGAACUGGUUAGAACAUGGCCAUGUAAAUCAAAUUUUGAAGAAAACCAACAAUAAACUUGUUUUAUCCCCCCAUUUUUCAAUCAGUUUUAGUUUUUCUACUGUCUAUUGUGUGAUAUAGAAUGCAUUAUAAAUCUGUUUUAUAUAAUUAUGUAAAUGUUUCUGUUCACAAAUCAUUGAUGUUAAAAGAGGGAGUAAACAUAAUUAUCCAGUCCAUCUGCAAAUAUAGGAUUGUUCCUUACAAUUAAUUGUACUGUGGCGUGGUGGGUUUUUCCUCCCAUUAUCUACUCUUUAUGUAAUUCUGUAAUAUGUUAAGUAUGUGAUUUGCUCCUAUAGAAGUCAGUAGGAUUCUGUUAUGGAAAAAAAAGAUUAUUGGUUUGAUCCAAAGCUGAUAGCCUGAUCCAAAGCCCAUUGAAGUCUCUGAAUGUACCAUGGUUUGUAUUGCGUGGUUUAAAACUAAGCUUAUUAUCUUUUAUGCCCAAAACAGUUAUUUAUAUUGAUUGUGAGAUUUAGUACAUGUAUUUAGGAGGCACAUCAUGCCUGUCUCACUCAGUGAAUUUAAUGGGAUGACUUAUCUAAGCAAGAUUUUUGCUCAAGAUGUCUGCUAUGAUGAGAAGGGGGUGAUUUUUUUUAAAGCAGUAUUUUAGAGAACUCUGUUUGAAUGAGGUAAUGGAGAAAUUUCAGUAUCAUGGGCAGGGGGACCCCAAAACCCAUCUCUUGCAGUGAAGACACCAUGCGCUUGCACUGUGUGCAAGGACUAAUUGUAAUUUUUUCCCUUUGGCAAAGGCAUAAAGUGUUUUUCAGCAGUUUGUGGUGCUCCUAAUCACAUCAUAACUGCAACUGCACACAGCAUAUUGUAAUACCACCUGCCAAAGUCUCUCAAUCAUCUUUGUGAAACAUUUUGUACCAAUUCUGUUCUUGUCCAUUUCAGCUCAGAUUUGUAACCUGUGAAAGUAGAUGGAACUUGUAAG